Molecule: transfer RNA, 69 nt
Filed under: Marmota marmota marmota (Alpine marmot)
Lineage: Eukaryota; Metazoa; Chordata; Mammalia; Rodentia; Sciuridae
Also listed under: 1 other name
Rfam family: tRNA
About the family: Transfer RNA (tRNA) molecules are approximately 80 nucleotides in length. Their secondary structure includes four short double-helical elements and three loops (D, anti-codon, and T loops).
Source: Rfam by way of RNAcentral
GGGGCUGUGGCUCAGUGGUAGAGCGCUCGCCUAGCAUGUGUGAGGCACUGGGUUCCACCCUCAGCACCA